This 889-nucleotide long non-coding RNA is filed under the name Felis catus (domestic cat). Its description in RNAcentral is "lncRNA (ENSFCAG00000053600.1)". Lineage: Eukaryota; Metazoa; Chordata; Mammalia; Carnivora; Felidae. The record is from RNAcentral.
AACCUUGAAGGAAAAACAGAACUGCGUUCCUCAGCUCUAUCCUUUCUGCUCAUUUCCUGUCACUCAAGAUGUGAUUUUUCAGUGGUGGUCUCCAUUUCAAUUCACAUAUGGCUGCUAGAUCAAGGGACUGACAUUAUCUAGAAAUCUGUGAAGUAAAAAACAUCCAAGACCCAUUCCCUGGGGGCAGAAAAAGGAGGGUAGAAAAAAAGGUGUGUGUGGGGGUGGUGUGGAGUGGGAAUCUCUAAUCAGGGUUCUCUGUUCAUUGUUCUAGAAGGUUCUAGAAUGAACAGGAGUGUUUCUGAGUGUUCCUGAGUGAACAUAGAUUCUAAUGCUGCUGUAGAUUUUUCUUAUUUCUUUGUCAUCUCCAUUUAUAGACUGAAUUAAAACCCUCAGUCCUAAAUGAAAACCUGGCCUUCUGCAUGGUUGGGGAGGAGGCCAGAAUCUCUGCCUUGCUGCUUUUUAUCUCCAUCACCUCCUGCCAACAGACUGCCUCGGAGAAGAUCAGUCCCAGCCCAGCAAUAGAAGUACGCACAAAACAGAAGAGAACACGAAGGGACUUCGGUUUCCUUUUUAUCUCAAUACAUACGGGCUAAUGAAAUGACACCUCUGUGUCCCUUGGGAAUCUCCAUGCAGGUCACCUCCUCUCUGAAGCUCACCGGGCAGUCUUCCAUGGCUCCUUCAGGGCUCCAGCACUGAUGUCACUUCCAUUACAUCACCUGUCACCCUGCUCUGGUGCUACCUGUCCAUCCUCACUGAUGGACUGUGAAUUGAGGCAGAAGUUGUGUCUUAUUUAUCACCAUAAUUGAGAACUGAGUGUUCUUUUCGAAUUUUAGCUUGCAUGAAUUCUAUUGAUUGACUUAUUAAGUGAAUAAAUGUCACCCUGACUCCA